RNAcentral lists this long non-coding RNA (866 nucleotides) under Homo sapiens (human). RNAcentral describes it as "HSALNT0392476". Lineage: Eukaryota; Metazoa; Chordata; Mammalia; Primates; Hominidae. The record is from RNAcentral.
AAGAUGGCGGCUGGAGACUAGCGCUGGAGAGGGGGAGCCUUCCAUAUCCGGCCACUUCUCUCCACAGCCGCCAUUUUGGCAGAAGCCUAAGCCUUGCUCAUCCCUUACUUAGGCUACAUUUUCAAAAGUCAGAAAAAACUUUUUCCUGAAGAAGGGGUUUCUGAGACAAGACCCCUAUUUGUGACCAAUUGUAAGAUCAUCUGAAGAUCGAGUCCGAUUGCCUGGCCAGGCCGGGCUGGGUGGUAUGUGCCCCCGUCACGCCGGAGGUUCCUGCUUUAGCGACGCCAAAGAUUGGGUGUGAGGGCAGCCCGCGGUGACAGAGACACGGAUCGGACCGAGAGAAAAAGGCUGUGGGCUUCACUGAGCAGAGUGACGUCAAUUCACAGGACCUCCACAGUGUGCCUUUUGCUGGGUAGGAAAAUGCCAGCCAGCUUGGAAAACAAGAAGACACAUUUAUGUCUACCAUGAGCAUUGGCAUCAGCCAAUUAUCCCACACGUUUUCGGCUAGUCAGUGCUGAAGAGAGCAAGAAUUUCAACCCUUCUUGCUACAUUCAAGACAUAGAAAUCCAGCCAGAAGACAACUCGAGAUAUUUUGUGGAUCUAUGCCUUUCCUUCAGAAAAGCAAAUAUCUACCAUAAAAAAACACUGGUCCAAUAUUCACUUCUAUAAGAAAUGCAGGGGCAAAUAAAUUAUGGAUUUUAUUAUCGCUAAUAGAGUCACUUAACCAUUACUCCUUACUACAUUCUGCUUUUCUAACAAAAUUUCGACUGAAUAUUCUCCCUCAGAGCCUCCAAAAGGAACCAACUGAUGACAACUGAUUUUGGACUUCUGGCCUCCUGAACUAUAACAAAAUAAACAUCUGUUGU